AAGUCGUAACAAGGUUUCCGUAGGUGAACCUGCGGAAGGAUCAUUCAUAAUAAGUGUUUUAUGGCACUUUUUAAAUCCAUAUCCACCUUGUGUGCAAUGUCAGUCGUUCUCUUCUUAUGGGGAGAGUGACCAAACAUCAACUUAUUCUAAACUCUUUGUCUGAAAAAUAUUAUGAAUAAAAUAAUUCAAAAUACAACUUUCAACAACGGAUCUCUUGGCUCUC
RNAcentral lists this unclassified non-coding RNA (223 nucleotides) under Linnemannia exigua. RNAcentral's name for it is "Mortierella exigua partial internal transcribed spacer region". The stretch from base 1 to 46 matches the Rfam family "Eukaryotic small subunit ribosomal RNA", at positions 1786 to 1831 of the family's 1831-position model. RNAcentral also lists the same sequence under 1 other name. Lineage: Eukaryota; Fungi; Mortierellomycota; Mortierellomycetes; Mortierellales; Mortierellaceae. The record is from RNAcentral.